CUCAAACCCUUAAAAUCUUAACCCUCAAACAAAUUUUUAGAGCCAUUUGGAGUAGAUCAAAGCUUGGGAAAUGCUUCUAAAGCUUUGGUGAAACCUUUUCCCUUGAGUUUGCUGGAGAUUUGUAGUUAAGAUUUGGGCAACCUAACUACUAAAGGAGGAUGAUUGAAGGCUAGAAGUUGAGAUUGAUUGUGGGACCACCUCCGAUUAUCACGAUGAGUUGGAUUUUAUUUGAAAUGCAUGUGAUGCAAACGCAUUGUUAAAUAUGCUACCAUGAUACUAGAAUUUGUAUGUACACCUAGAUGAAUGUGCUUAGGCCAAGAAAUUUUUUAUAUAUGUAUCUAUAUAUUUUAUAUGUGCUGUGUAUGUGUCUGCCUUAGUGCAAGCCACUUAGUGGCAUUCCUCUAAGCCUAAACUAUGAGGUCUAGUGAAUGUGAUGGACGUUUAGGAGUAGUUUACUCUAGACAUUGAACCUCAUGGAGGAUUAUGAAUAUUUGAUGCCUUAGAGAGUUAAGGGCAUUUAUAUGAGAUAGUAAGCUAGAAAUGUUUAGAGCUCAAAAAAGUAUCCUUUGUUAUAGAAUGUGGUAUGUGUGAUACCUAAGGUAUGAUGGGCUCGUUUAUGGAUUUAUAUUCUGUACAAUGAUGAGAAUUUCAGACGUCGAGUUGAUUUGAGGUUAAAUGGAGUCCUCACCUAGUGACUAUGUUCUGUUUCCCUAAGGAUGGUGGUAAAUAGGGACGGUGGUAUUAGUCUCGCCUAUGAUUUAUGCUUGCAGUGCUUUAAUGCAAUCCACUGAGAUUAUUUUGGAUGAUGAUUAUGUUCUCCAUCGACCACUUCUGCACUGAUGUUGCCAUCCGUUGACACUACUUCGAAUGAUGACUAUGCUUUCCAUCCGUUUCUUUGGCAUACGCAUGAUUUGACCGUCUGCCAGCAGCUUGACCUUAAGCAUGAUUUGUCUCUGUCGGUUGACCACCGAGCAUGAUUUAAUGAUGUCCAAGGAAAAACAUUUUAUGAUUGUGAUUUGAAUUAUGAGUGAUAUGAUAGAGCCUUAGAUAGCUUAGACAAAUUGGAUUUGAAUUUGGUAUAAUUCUCCGGUGACUAAGGUGUGCCUAUGGAGAAUAGCUUGUAAUGGCUUUGAAGACAAGCCUAGUGAUACACACCAUUAGUGAAGACUCUUUAGGCAUGAUUGAUAUGCCUCUAACAUUGAAGAUGCUUGUUAGAACAUUUGGUUGCAUUGAUAGUGUAGUACAUAUGUAUGCAUAUUUUGUCAAUUAUAUAUAUAUUUGAUUUAUCUGCAUCCUUCAUUAAGUAUUAUAUGGCUCACCCAUUUAAUGCACUAUGUGUAGAUAAAUAGGCCACAAGAUCACAUGGUAAAGGCCAUCCAUUGACAAACAAAUUUUGGCAUCUGAUAGGCUUCCAUUCUGAUAUGUUCACUCUACUUAGUCUAUCAUGAGCUUCCACAUCUAGUUUGGUUUGUACUGUAUUAGGCACACGGUGCCAUUUAGACUUAUGUAAGGGUCGUAAAGUACAAAUCCGCUUGAUGGUCAAUUUAUGGCCUUAUGUAUAUUGUAUUAAAUAUAGUGUAUGAACAAUAUGCCAAGGAUAAUUUUAUGUAUUUGAAUUUAAAUUAUAUUUUGAAAAUAUUUCAUGCAGAAUCCCUUAGCUAAUAAUGUAUGAUUUUGAUUUGAAUUUCUAAAGUUUACUCGAGUCUCGCGGGUCUUGCUUUUUGGGCUUAUGCAUUGGUCAUAGCUCUCUGAAUUGGGUCAUGACAAUUUGUAUCAAAGUACCUAGGUUUUAAAGCAUUCUAGGUUGUCUUCUGUUUGUCAACAGAGUGGCGAGAUUAGUGUAGAGUCUUGUUCACAGUUUGUGACUGCAACACAAGUCAUGAGCAGGAAGUUAUACGAAUCCCAAGUUUUUAGUAA
Molecule: long non-coding RNA, 1917 nt
Organism: Theobroma umbraticum
Lineage: Eukaryota; Viridiplantae; Streptophyta; Magnoliopsida; Malvales; Malvaceae
Source: RefSeq, a predicted model, not a curated record